GAAGGGUAAAAAUAUGUCGAUCGACAUGGGGUAAAAAGAGAUCAACCAUUGGGGUAAACUAAAUCUGCUUCUUUCUACCUCUAAAACUUUUUACCAUGGGUAAAAAGAAUCUUCUUGAGGUAUAAAAAGAACCAGAUUUAGACUUACACCAAGGGUUGAUGUCAUUUUACCCCAAAAAGAUCGGUCUCUUUUUACCCCAU
RNAcentral lists this microRNA precursor (200 nucleotides) under Medicago truncatula (barrel medic). RNAcentral describes it as "MIR2670 microRNA precursor family". It matches the Rfam family "MIR2670 microRNA precursor family". The record is from Rfam by way of RNAcentral. Lineage: Eukaryota; Viridiplantae; Streptophyta; Magnoliopsida; Fabales; Fabaceae.